UGCCUAUAAAAUCUAAAGACACCCCUUUUAUCUCUCUCGAAAACCCUCUCGACAAUAUUCGGCUAUCAGAAAAAGAGACCCACAAGGAAACAGAACCCUGAUCCAAGAUGAGAGCUAAGUGGAAGAAGAAGCGUAUGAGGAGGUUGAAGAGGAAGCGCAGAAAGAUGAGACAGAGAUCCAAGUAAGCUGUGGACUUGGACAGGAUG
This is a long non-coding RNA of Populus euphratica (Euphrates poplar), 206 nucleotides long. RefSeq lists it as uncharacterized. The transcript has 2 exons. NCBI's taxonomy places the organism in Eukaryota, Viridiplantae, Streptophyta, Magnoliopsida, Malpighiales, Salicaceae. The record is from RefSeq and is a predicted model, not a curated record.